UUACAUGCAGAUGCCAUGUGCUCCAUUUUAUUGGACAACUCUUUCUUUUUGUUGAAUUUUUUUAGGAACUCAAUAUACCCAGGGAUUGGCUGCAGUGUUCUUUUCAUAGGAAGUUUAAUUUUCAAUUUCUUGAAGAUUCUUUUUAGUUGCUUGGAGUGUUUUUCUUUCUUCUUCCUAUAAUGCUUCUUUGAGUAAUAUAAAGGUUUUUCAUACUCCUUUUCUCCUUCUUUUUCUUCCUCUGUGUCUAUCUUUUCUUUGCUCAAAUUUUUUUUUCACCUUCUAUUCUUUUCUUAUCUGUUUUCUUUUCCUCCCUUACAUCCUUUUCUUUUUUUUUCUCAAACAUUCUUUUUCUUCUCUCUCUAUUUUUUUCUCAUCCUCUUUCUUUUCUUCCCUCUCUUUUUUCCUUUCUUUUCCCUCACUUUCUUCCUUUUCUUUCUCUACUUUUUCUUUUCCAUUCAACCUUUCUUUUCCUUCUCUCUCUAUUUUU
This 487-nucleotide long non-coding RNA is filed under the name Vigna radiata. RNAcentral describes it as "long non-coding RNA (VRAD_LNC002740)". The record is from RNAcentral. Lineage: Eukaryota; Viridiplantae; Streptophyta; Magnoliopsida; Fabales; Fabaceae.